AAUAAGUUCACUUUUUAGUUUUUAUACAGUAUUUGACUAUUCGUCCUAUUUAAUUUUUUACAAUUAAUACUUUUAUUGUUAUUAAAUGAUAAAACAUGAAUAGCACUUUAUGCGUGAAUAACUUUUUUGAAUUUUUUUAUAAAUUUUUCAAGUAAUACAGAUGGUGAAACGCUAGACACCAGAAAAAAUAAACUCUUUUAGA
This 202-nucleotide microRNA precursor is filed under the name Oryza brachyantha (malo sina). RNAcentral's name for it is "MIR812 microRNA precursor family". It matches the Rfam family "MIR812 microRNA precursor family". The record is from Rfam by way of RNAcentral. Lineage: Eukaryota; Viridiplantae; Streptophyta; Magnoliopsida; Poales; Poaceae.